Molecule: small RNA, 1477 nt
Filed under: Pan troglodytes (chimpanzee)
Lineage: Eukaryota; Metazoa; Chordata; Mammalia; Primates; Hominidae
Description: processed transcript
Source: RNAcentral
UGCUAGGUACUCCUUUUGGCCUAAGGACACAGUGAAAAAUGUACCGAGACCUUGGAGAGCCACGAACCAAGAAACUUCAGAAACCUCUGAUAUCUGAUCAAGAGUUAAGAGACGUCAGAAUCAUCACAACUGACAAAAGAAUGUUUUCUCUCUUCAAGAUUCUCUUUUGAAAGACAUCUAAAAAGAAAUAGAUGACAAGAGGGUGCCCAACACACAAGGGGAAUUACAGAAUGCAUCCCCUAAGCAAAGGAAGCAGAGUGUGUACACGCCACCCACCAUAAAAGGUGCAAAAUGAGUUGAUAACAACCAGAAGUUGACUUGUUAGUGCUGUGCUUCUACUUGAGCUUGGAAAAAUCCCAACACAAAACAAACACCACCUCCAAUUCCAUCAUGAUGCCACGUUGCUUUCUACUGGAUUACCUCCUGAAGCACUUUAGAUAUUUUAUACAUAAGUAUUGACAUGUUUUUCAGAAGCUGUUUCUUCACUUAUUGCUUUUUUCUAAUAAUUUUUAUUACACCAUUUGCCAAGUCCUUCCCUUUGGUUUUAGUUUAUUCCUCUCUACAACUAAAAAAGGGAUCUUGAGUUUAGGUACAUUUUAAGUGAUUCAUUUUUAGUUUUUCUAAUUCUGGAAUCUGAGCCUUCUCUUGCAACAGGGAGUCUUUCAAACACAUUUUUUUGUUUCUUUUUCAAAUUCCACUGUGUUUAUUUAUUGCCUUGUUUCUUUUUCAAAUUCCAUUGGUCUUGAUUUAAUUUAGUUCCACAGAUUUUACUGAUAGUCUACUACCUGCCAACUACUGAAUUAUGCAGCAGACUUAUAAAAAUAAAAAGGCUAUUUUAUUGUUAUUGCCAUCCUGCUAGUAAAGAUUUAUUCAAUUAUUUAUAAUUAAUUAAGUGGCUUCACCUAUAUUUCUGUUAAUAAUCACAUUAAUUAUGUAUGACAGGUAGGAUAUAUGUUAUACAUAAGAAAACUAGAGUCCAAAGAAAAUAAGUGUCCCCAAAUGAACCAAUAAUCCAACAAACGCUUCCACUAACUAGCUUCUGACCUGUUUGAGUUGUGAUAGAUUUUAGAAUAAAAAAGCCCAUCCUCCUUAGGAGCCAUAGACUUUUAUUCUUUCUUAUACUGUCUUAUAUAUUGACUUAGAGCUAAACUUCCUCCAAUUCAGACAUAAAGCAUAGGCAGAUACUUUUGCUAAUGAGGCUAAGCUGGGAAGAAAACCCUGAGUUCUACUUUAAUUCUUGGGCAUUGACUUCAAACUAAGAUGACUUAUAAGAAAUAAAAGAAGUAAAUUUGAAACUUUAAUUAAAAAAGUACAUGGUUCAUUUAAAAAUGUUUCCUAUGUCUAAAUCUAUAUUUUAAAAAUAACCUUUAUCAUGUAAAAUGAGAGAAUUGCUGAGUUUAUGACAAUCUUAGGUAUAACCUUUUCUUAAAGAACAAGGCAUCAAUCUUUAAUUUGUUUCCCUUUCUUGAUUUCUCGU